AAGACCUUGCGCUUUUGGAGCGGCCGAUGUCUGAUUAGCUAGUUGGUGGGGUAAUGGCCUACCAAAGCUUCGAUCAGUAGCUGGUCUGAGAGGACGGCCAGCCACACUGGGACUGAGACACGGCCCAGACUCCUACGGGAGGCAGCAGUGGGGAAUUUUGGACAAUGGGCGCAAGCCUGAUCCAGCCAUGCCGCGUGAGUGAAGAAGGCCUUCGGGUUGUAAAGCUCUUUCAGCCGGGAAGAAAAGGUUGCGAUUAAUAAUCGCAAUUGAUGACGGUACCGGAAGAAGAAGCACCGGCUAACUACGUGCCAGCAGCCGCGGUAAUACGUAGGGUGCGAGCGUUAAUCGGAAUUACUGGGCGUAAAGGGUGCGCAGGCGGUUUUGUAAGUCAGAUGUGAAAUCCCCGGGCUUAGCCUGGGAACU
Molecule: ribosomal RNA, 423 nt
Filed under: uncultured bacterium
Lineage: Bacteria
Description: bacterial SSU rRNA
Rfam family: Bacterial small subunit ribosomal RNA
Source: RNAcentral